Molecule: long non-coding RNA, 1447 nt
Organism: Tachysurus fulvidraco (yellow catfish)
Lineage: Eukaryota; Metazoa; Chordata; Actinopteri; Siluriformes; Bagridae
Exons: 4
Source: RefSeq, a predicted model, not a curated record
UUUUGUCAUCUCUUGUCAUGUCUGUUGUCUUGUCUCUGUUCCUGUUUUGUGUCUUUUAUUUAAUCAACCAGUUUAUUUUACACUAUCCUGCAUUUGGGUCUGUUUUAUCAUCGCAUUGCUGACAGUUAAUGCAAGUUGCAAAAAUAAUAUAGCAUGAUUUAGUCCAGCAGGUUUCAAAGCUAAAUUUGCCGGCUGAGAACCAGUGAAAAAGCGUGGAACGGGUCAAGAUUAGACACCUGCUCCAGCUCUGUGUCAAAGGGAAAGGAAUUAGAAUGAGGGAUAAGUUCAGGACAAGCUGUAAGUGAAAUAUGGCAUCAUGCAGACUCAUUCAGGUAACCACAUGGUCUCCACAUGGACCUAGAACCUGAUGCAAAACCUUGCAUUGUCCUCUGAGUUCUGAGUUGUUUGUUCUGGACAGCAUUGACGUGUAUGACCUUUCUUGCCUCGCCCUGUCUUUGCUUUUGCAUAGCCCUUUGGAUUUGAUAAUAUAUCUGAUUUCUAUUAUUCUGAUCAUGCCCUGUUCUGUGAUUACAUUUUUUGAUUAUGUUUGGGAUUGGAAAUUUCCAGAACUUUAUUAAUGAAUGUUUUGUCCCUGCCAUUGCUAUUGAUAAAUCUUAAGCAAAGGGAUCCAUAUAACAUGUCUAAUAGCCUUUUGGUCCAAACGGCUUUGACUUGGAUUGUAGAUGUGUCUCCUUUUCUCAAAAGUGUCUCUAUUGCCUGGGGGGUCAGCUGGUUGGAAUUCUUGCUUGGCAUCUCUAGCAAAUUUCCUCAACAUUGGUAGAAAUCAUCUGGGUGUGUGUUCUUGGUGAAUCCUUUAACAUUCGAAUACUCAACCAAACAUCUGUCAUGUUUGAUAUGGAAUUACCAGAAGUCUUCACCUAUCCAGAAUCUGGGCAAGAUGCUAAAGAGAGACUUUCACUAAACCAAGAUACACCAUCCACAGCAGAUAAUCUUUUGUACUUUGGCUGCAGAAAGCAAAUGGAUUUAGUGGCUAUUAACACCCUUUUUCAGACAAGGCCUAAAAAAAAAACUCCAAUCUGAGUUGGCAUACAGGAAUGACUCAUUCUCUUUCAGUCUGCUCAGAGUCUGGAAACCUUGUCAAAAUUCCCUCUCCAGUCCCAGAAACCCAACCAUAAUGGUAGACACAGAAUCCAGGAGCAUCAUAAGAGAUUCUGUUGUUGUAUUGCUGGAAUAAAGGGCAACUUGCACUCCGAGGGCUUAAAACAAUACAUGUAAUCAGGUGAGCCAAUCGAAAAUAAACAUAAUACUCUUCCCAUAAAGCUUUCAUGGUGUUCCGAGUCCCAUGUGUUUCCCUGCACUAGGUUACUCUGGGGCAGCUGGUAAUUUCAUGGAUGAAACUAUGGCUCAAUUACCUUAUAUCCCUCUUGUCCCUCUCAAAGGCUACUUGACAGCACCCCUUCAGAAGUUUAAAAAAAUCGAAAAUGCA